GGCUGGCUGGCCAAAUGGUAAGGCGUCGGACUCCUAUCAACAGCGUAAUCCGAAGAUUCUGGGUUCGAGUCCCAGGUUGGUCG
RNAcentral lists this transfer RNA (83 nucleotides) under Colletotrichum falcatum. Its description in RNAcentral is "tRNA-Arg". It matches the Rfam family "tRNA". Rfam says of the family: Transfer RNA (tRNA) molecules are approximately 80 nucleotides in length. Their secondary structure includes four short double-helical elements and three loops (D, anti-codon, and T loops). The record is from RNAcentral. Lineage: Eukaryota; Fungi; Ascomycota; Sordariomycetes; Glomerellales; Glomerellaceae.